GGGAUUCCCCCNCAGUAAGGGCGACUGAAACGGGAUGAGCCCAGCGCAUAACGUCUUUCACUUAGGAAGGUGUCAGAUGGGUGUUGCGUAUCGGAGGGGUCUGGCACGGCCGGCCUUCCCGCCUAAGUUUUGACUUGAACGUUUCUCUAACCCAUGGAGGGUGAGAGGCCCGUGUGGCGGAUCCUGUCCCGAAUGGGAAGAUGUGCUGGCCGGAAAGGGCUCCUCCGUUGAGUCGGGUUGCUUAAUAUCGCAGCCCUAAGACAGGUGGUAAACUCCAUCUAAGGCUAAAUAUGACCACGAGACCGAUAGCGAACAAGUACCGUGAGGGAAAGUUGAAAAGGACUUUGAAGAGAGAGUUCAAGAGUACGUGAAACCGUUAAGAGGUAAACGGAUGGACGCCAGAAGGUCGACUAGGCGGAUUCAGCGAGCGAGAGACCGGGCCCAUCUUGUGUUUGGACUGUUGUACUGGGUUUGUCGUCCGGUGCAUGGCCAUUCACCUGUUGGGAUUCCGGCCCGGCUUGCGGAGUUCUGCCUUGGUAGGUCGUCGCGACCCGUUGACUGGACGUUAGGCCCGUUUGGAUUGGUAGCUCUGUAGGAGCGAUGCUUGAUCGAGGUCGCACUCGUUCGACUGUGUCGUUUCUCAGGGUGAAACCUGCGGUGCAUCCUUUCAGCCGGUCGACGGAGUUCUCCCUGGGGCUACGGCUCUCGCGGCGUAACUCAGUCGGCGUUCCAUCCGCCCCGUCUUGAAACACGGACCAAGGAGUCUAGCAUGUGCGCGAGCCAAAGGGUGUACUAAACCUGUAGGCGCAAUGAAAGUGAACUUCACUGAUUGGCUUUGACGAGUAGUAGAUUCCUCGAGUGGUGUUUCCCUUUGUCGUCGGCUUGGGCGAUUUUGGGGAGGACUUGCUUGGGGUUUUGAAGGCCGUCUGUAAUUGCCUGUUGGGUUGAUCCCUGCAUCUGAUCGUUGGGGCGCAAACCCCGGACUUGCAAAUUGUAUGCAAUAACUUGUUAUUCGGCUUUUUCCUUGAUUGAGGUUGCUGGUAGUGUUUUUGUGGGCAAGUACCGUGAGUGUACAUGCUAGGACCCGAAAGAUGGUGAACUAUGCCUGGCCAGGGUGAAGCCAGAGGAAACUCUGGUGGAGGCUCGAAGCGAUUCUGACGUGCAAAUCGAUCGUCGGAGCUGGGUAUAGGGGCGAAAGACUAAUCGAACCAUCUAGUAGCUGGUUCCCUCCGAAGUUUCCCUCAGGAUAGCUGGCGGUCGCCUUGAGAGAAUUUCACCUGGUAAAGCUAAUGAUUAGAGGUGUUGGGGACGAAACGUCCUCAACCUAUUCUCAAACUUUAAAUGGGUGAGAGACCAGACUUGCUUGAAUUGUUCGCGUACUCUUGUGGGUGCGUCGAGCCCUUUUUGGAAGUGAAGUGCUGGUGUAUGUGAAAUCUCUGACUGCCCAGUGGGCCGUUUUUGGUAAGCAGAACUGGUGCUGUGGGAUGAACCAAACGUUCAGUUAAGGGGCCUAAGUGAAUGCUCAUUCAGAUCCCAUGGAAAGGUGUUGCUUGCUACAGACAGCAGGACGGUGGCCAUGGAAGUUGGAAUCCGCUAAGGAGUGUGUAACAACUCACCUGCCGAAGCAAGUAGCCCUGAAAAUGGUAUGGCGCUCAAGCAUUCCCCCGAUACUGGACCGCCGGGACACUACAGACUGCAUGGGAGGUCUCGAAGUCCCGGUGAGUAGGAGGGCGCGACGGUGAGCAGUGAAGCGUCCGCCGUGAGGUGACGUGGAGCCGCCGUUGGUGAAGAUCUUGGUGGUAGUAGCAAAUAUUCGAGAGAGACUACCUGGAAGGCCGAUGUGGGGCAGGGUUCCGUGUGAACAUCAGUUGGACACGGGUUAGUCAGUCCUAAGUCCAAGGCGAAAGCCUUACGCCGAUGUGAUGGCAGUUGGCCAACCGAGUAUUUUCAAAGGUGCGUGUGGAAAGCAGUACGGCGCCCAAUGAUGACUCGCGAGGCGCGAAGCUCGCCUCCCACAAACGCUCACGCAACAGCACGACACUUUGGCAUGGGGUGUGUGUGUGUGUGUGA
Molecule: ribosomal RNA, 2070 nt
Filed under: Stenopus hispidus (banded coral shrimp)
Lineage: Eukaryota; Metazoa; Arthropoda; Malacostraca; Decapoda; Stenopodidae
Description: eukaryotic LSU rRNA
Rfam family: Eukaryotic large subunit ribosomal RNA
Source: RNAcentral